UAUAUUUGCACUGUAUUAUCAGAAACCUUGUGAAAUGGAGUUAUACUUUCAAAUUCACACCCUCAUUAUACUGCAAAUCAGAUGUGUUAACUCUGUCCCCCUGAUUUCCCCCUUACAGCCUGAACCAUGUCAAACCCAUUAGUGAAUCUCCAGUAUCUCCAAUGUGGCAGGUUAGCGGCUGACACUGCUUUUUACAUGGUUGCUCUCCAAGCGCACUGGAAUCUGACGUGCUAAGACCUGCAACACAGCACCCCAGAUACCAGUGACACAAGCGUCAGGCGAAGAACCACAGCCGCUGAUGUUCAGUCAUUGGGCUUAUUGCAGACACUUCAAAU
Molecule: long non-coding RNA, 335 nt
Organism: Ictalurus punctatus (channel catfish)
Lineage: Eukaryota; Metazoa; Chordata; Actinopteri; Siluriformes; Ictaluridae
Source: Ensembl